This 401-nucleotide ribosomal RNA is filed under the name uncultured bacterium. RNAcentral describes it as "bacterial SSU rRNA". It matches the Rfam family "Bacterial small subunit ribosomal RNA", at positions 355 to 774 of the family's 1533-position model. The record is from RNAcentral.
UGGGGAAUCUUGCACAAUGGGGGCAACCCUGAUGCAGCGACGCCGCGUGGGCGAUGAAGCCCUUCGGGGCGUAAAGCUCUUUCGACCGGAACGAUAAUGACGGUACCGGGAGAAGAAGCUGCGGCUAACUACGUGCCAGCAGCCGCGGUAAUACGUAGGCAGCAAGCGUUGUUCGGGUUACUGGGCGUAAAGAGUGCGUAGGCGGUUUUCUAAGUUCGGUGUGAAAUCUCCCGGCUUAACUGGGAGGGUGCGCCGAAGACUGGGAUGCUGAAGUGUGGGAAAGGCAGGCGGAAUUCCUGGUGUAGCGGUGAAAUGCGUAGAUAUCAGGAGGAACACCGGCGGUGUAGACGGCUUGCUAGACCAUAACUGACGCUGAGGCACGAAAGCGUGGGUAGCAAACA